RNAcentral lists this ribosomal RNA (1373 nucleotides) under uncultured bacterium. RNAcentral's name for it is "bacterial SSU rRNA". It matches the Rfam family "Bacterial small subunit ribosomal RNA". The record is from RNAcentral.
AGAGUUUGAUCCUGGCUCAGGACGAACGCUGGCGGCGUGCCUAACACAUGCAAGUCGAACGGAAGUUUUUCUUCGGAGAAACUUUAGUGGCGAACGGGUGAGUAACGCGUGAGGAACCUGCCUUUCAGUGGGGGACAACAGUUGGAAACGACUGCUAAUACCGCAUAAUGUUUUCGGACCGCAUGAUCUGGAAACCAAAGAUUUAUUGCUGAAAGAUGGCCUCGCGUCUGAUUAGCUAGUUGGUGAGGUAACGGCUCACCAAGGCGACGAUCAGUAGCCGGUCUGAGAGGAUGAACGGCCACAUUGGGACUGAGAUACGGCCCAGACUCCUACGGGAGGCAGCAGUGGGGAAUAUUGGGCAAUGGGGGAAACCCUGACCCAGCAACGCCGCGUGAAGGAAGAAGGCCUUCGGGUUGUAAACUUCUUUUAGCAGGGACGAAGAACGUGACGGUACCUGCAGAAAAAGCAACGGCUAACUACGUGCCAGCAGCCGCGGUAAUACGUAGGUUGCAAGCGUUGUCCGGAUUUACUGGGUGUAAAGGGCGUGUAGGCGGAGCUGCAAGUCAGAUGUGAAAUCCCGGGGCUCAACCCCGGAACUGCAUUUGAAACUGUAGCCCUUGAGUAUCGGAGAGGCAAGCGGAAUUCCUAGUGUAGCGGUGAAAUGCGUAGAUAUUAGGAGGAACACCAGUGGCGAAGGCGGCUUGCUGGACGACAACUGACGCUGAGGCGCGAAAGCGUGGGGAGCAAACAGGAUUAGAUACCCUGGUAGUCCACGCUGUAAACGAUGAAUACUAGGUGUGGGAGGACUGACCCCUUCCGUGCCGCAGUUAACACAAUAAGUAUUCCACCUGGGGAGUACGACCGCGAGGUUGAAACUCAAAGGAAUUGACGGGGACCCGCACAAGCGGUGGAACAUGUGGUUUAAUUCGAUGAUACGCGAGGAACCUUACCCGGGCUUGAAAGUUAGUGACUAUAGCAGAGAUGCUAUUUCCCUUCGGGGCACGAAACUAGGUGCUGCAUGGUUGUCGUCAGCUCGUGCUGUGAAGUGUCGGCUUAAGUGCCAUAACGAGCGCAACCCUUGCCGUUAGUUGCCAUCAGGUAAUGCUGGGGACUCUAGCGGGACUGCCACCGCAAGGUGUGAGGAAGGGGGGGAUGACGUCAAAUCAGCACGGCCCUUACGUCCGGGGCGACACACGUGUUACAAUGGUGGGUACAGAGGGAAGCUACCUGGCGACAGGAUGCAGAUCUCGAAAACCCAUCCCAGUUCGGAUUGGAGUCUGCAACCCGACUCCAUGAAGUUGGAUUCGCUAGUAAUCGCGCAUCAGCCAUGGCGCGGUGAAUACGUUCCCGGGCCUUGCACACACCGCCCGUCA